This is a long non-coding RNA of Brassica napus (rape), 689 nucleotides long. RefSeq lists it as uncharacterized. The transcript has 3 exons. The record is from RefSeq and is a predicted model, not a curated record. Lineage: Eukaryota; Viridiplantae; Streptophyta; Magnoliopsida; Brassicales; Brassicaceae.
GACUGAGAGGCACCAGCUAGAUGAUCAAUGAAAUUCUCCGAGUUUACCCGUUUUUACAAUUUUGUUUUCGUUGUGUGCGGUGAGAAUGGACAUAAGAGUAUCACUGUAGGUAAAGCAACAAGUUUUGGCUUUUAUACGUUGUCUGCAUGGGAAUCUAGAAGGAUAUGACUCUAAAGAUGAACAGCACAAAGAUUAUCGUCGCUGCCACACAGGAUUAAGAAGUGUUCCAGGCUUAAAGAGAAUAAAAAUCUAAAGACAAUGAAAAAAAAGUAUCAGAACUCGAUACUCUUAUUCGCCCCCAAACUUGAAACGAAUCGGAUCCGACAAGAGUCCAAGAUGUUCAUUCAUGUCACAUUGCGGGAUCGAGUUUUCUCACAAGGGUUUGCGAGUCAUUAGAAUAUGAUGAGUACGCAAGGGUAGAAACCGCUCCACACCCGCAGCAAAUUAAGGUCUGGCCACAAUCUCAAGAGUUAGCAAAGCAAAGAAGGAUAUCAAACCAAAGAUUUGAAGAAAGAGGCUGCAGACGGCGGAGAAGAAAGAGGCUGCAGACGGCGGAGAAACUAAGGAAUAAGAUCUGUUAUUCAUCAUUCAAUUGUAAUUUUUUUUGUGCAGUCGUUAGAUAAUGCUUUCAUUAAUAUCAACCAUUUGAUGACAUAUCUUUCAUCCCGAUUAAGACCAUCUUCUAUUGA